AGUGGAUGGGGAGCAACCUAGUUGUGCGUGUGUAAAGGUAGUGCCAAGAAAAGCGAUGAUCAUGUUGAAAAUCAAUUCCCGGUACCCGAAACCGACACAGGUGGGCAAGUAGAGAAUACUAAGGGGCGCGAGGUAACUCUCUCCAAGGAACUCGGCAAAAUGACCCCGUAACUUAGGGAGAAGGGGUGCCACCGAGAGGUGGUCGCAGUGAAGAGGCCCAGGCGACUGUUUAGCAAAAACAUAGGUCUCUGCAAACUCGAAAGAGGAGGUAUAGGGGCUGACGCCUGCCCAGUGCCGGAAGGUUAAAGAAGUUGGUCAGUUUUAGGAUGAAGCUAGCGACUGAAGCCCCGGUGAACGGCGGCCGUAACUAUAACGGUCCUAAGGUAGCGAAAUUCCUUGUCGGGCAAGUUCCGACCCGCACGAAAGGCGUAACGAUCUGGGCGCUGUCUCGGAGAGAGGCUCGGCGAAAUAGGAUUGUCUGUGAAGAUACGGACUACCUGCAUUUGGACAGAAAGACCCUAUGAAGCUUUACUAUAGCUUGGAAUUGUGUUCGGGCUUCCUGUGCGCAGGAUAGGUGGGAGGCGUAGAAGGUAUUCUUGUGGGGAUACUGGAGCCAACGGUGAGAUACCACUCUCAGGAGGCUAGAAUUCUAACUUAAUUAAGGACAGUUUCAGGUGGGUAGUUUGACUGGGGCGGUCGCCUCCAAAAAGGUAACGGAGGCGUACAAAGGUUCCCUCAGACUGGUUGGAAAUCAGUCGAAGAGUGCAAAGGCAGAAGGGAGCUUGACUGCGAGAAGUACAGUUCGAGCAGGGUGGAAACACGGUCUUAGUGAUCCGACGGUGCUGUGUGGAAGGGCCGUCGCUCAACGGAUAAAAGUUACUCUAGGAUAACAGGCUGAUCUCCCCAAGAGUUCACAUCGACGGGGAGGUUUGGCACCUCGAUGUCGGCUCAUCGCAACCUGGGGCGGAAGUACGUCCCAAGGGUUGGGCUGUUCGCCCAUUAAAGCGGUACGUGAGCUGGGUUCAGAACGUCGUGAGACAGUUCGGUCCAUAUCCGAUGUAGGCGUGAGAAUAUUGAGAGGAGCCUUCCUUAGUACGAGAGGACCGGGAAGGACGCACCGCUGGUGUACCUGUUAUGAUGCCAAUUGUAAACGCAGGGUAGCCAAGUGCGGAGAGGAUAACCGCUGAAAGCAUCUAAGUGGGAAGCCCACCUCAAGAUGAGUAUUCUGGUGUAAGGUCACGGGAAGACGACCCGUAAAUAGGCACGAGGUGGAAGUGCAGAGAUGUAUGAAGCCGAAGUGUACUAAUAGACCGUCGGCUUGACCU
This 1325-nucleotide ribosomal RNA is filed under the name metagenome. Its description in RNAcentral is "bacterial LSU rRNA". It matches the Rfam family "Bacterial large subunit ribosomal RNA", at positions 1561 to 2925 of the family's 2925-position model. The record is from RNAcentral.